CCCUUAGAUGUUCUGGGCCGCACGCGCGCUACACUGAUGCAUUCAACGAGUCUAAAACCUGGUCUGAUAGGGCUGGGUAAUCUUUUGAAUGUGCAUCGUGAUUGGGAUAGAUGAUUGCAAUUCUUCAUCUUCAACGAGGAAUGCCUAGUAAACGCAAGUCAUCAGCUUGCAUUGAUUACGUCCCUGCCCUUUGUACACACCGCCCGUCGCUCCUACCGAUUGAAUGUUCCGAUGAAUACCAUGGACUGAGAGUAUGAAUGGGUUCGCCUAUUUCUGCUUCUCGGGAAGUGGAGUAAACCUUAACAUUUAGAGGAAGGAGAAGUCGUAACA
RNAcentral lists this ribosomal RNA (330 nucleotides) under uncultured eukaryote. Its description in RNAcentral is "partial 18S ribosomal RNA". It matches the Rfam family "Eukaryotic small subunit ribosomal RNA", at positions 1470 to 1796 of the family's 1831-position model. The record is from RNAcentral.